Cordylochernes scorpioides is the source of this 78-nucleotide non-coding RNA. The record is from the annotation of a GenBank genome assembly. NCBI's taxonomy places the organism in Eukaryota, Metazoa, Arthropoda, Arachnida, Pseudoscorpiones, Chernetidae.
UGUCAUCGUUUUAAAAAAAAUCGAACCAGGGACCUUUAGAUCUUCAGUCUAACGCUCUCCCAACUGAGCUAUUUUGGC